RNAcentral lists this ribosomal RNA (543 nucleotides) under Salmonella enterica subsp. enterica serovar Stanleyville. Its description in RNAcentral is "bacterial SSU rRNA". It matches the Rfam family "Bacterial small subunit ribosomal RNA", at positions 993 to 1533 of the family's 1533-position model. Lineage: Bacteria; Pseudomonadati; Pseudomonadota; Gammaproteobacteria; Enterobacterales; Enterobacteriaceae. The record is from RNAcentral.
GAACUUUCCAGAGAUGGAUUGGUGCCUUCGGGAACUGUGAGACAGGUGCUGCAUGGCUGUCGUCAGCUCGUGUUGUGAAAUGUUGGGUUAAGUCCCGCAACGAGCGCAACCCUUAUCCUUUGUUGCCAGCGAUUAGGUCGGGAACUCAAAGGAGACUGCCAGUGAUAAACUGGAGGAAGGUGGGGAUGACGUCAAGUCAUCAUGGCCCUUACGACCAGGGCUACACACGUGCUACAAUGGCGCAUACAAAGAGAAGCGACCUCGCGAGAGCAAGCGGACCUCAUAAAGUGCGUCGUAGUCCGGAUUGGAGUCUGCAACUCGACUCCAUGAAGUCGGAAUCGCUAGUAAUCGUGGAUCAGAAUGCCACGGUGAAUACGUUCCCGGGCCUUGUACACACCGCCCGUCACACCAUGGGAGUGGGUUGCAAAAGAAGUAGGUAGCUUAACCUUCGGGAGGGCGCUUACCACUUUGUGAUUCAUGACUGGGGUGAAGUCGUAACAAGGUAACCGUAGGGGAACCUGCGGUUGGAUCACCUCCUUACCU